Conger conger (European conger) is the source of this 647-nucleotide long non-coding RNA. RefSeq lists it as uncharacterized. The record is from RefSeq and is a predicted model, not a curated record. The transcript has 3 exons. Lineage: Eukaryota; Metazoa; Chordata; Actinopteri; Anguilliformes; Congridae.
CUUGGUUGAUUGAGUGAAAGCGAGGUUAAUCUGCGGACAGCCCUAAUGGAGAGGACAUUGGCCUGGAGAAAAGCCAGACUGCGAUUGCUGUUGGUUUUCAGCAAGCCCCCCUGGGUUAGAAGGGUCUCAUCAGAUUCAAAAGUGCUAGCCUACUGAGUUGCUAAGGGGUCCGCUCUGGCCUACUGCACCUUCACAAGAUCUUAAAACCCGACAGACCCCUUCCUUCUGCAGCCUCAGCAGGCCUGCAUCCUCUCCCUCUGCGGACCUGCACUGCCAGUGAUAGGAUCAGCAUCCACACCGUCAUCGGACUGGCAGUGCCAAUGAACCGCUGAUUGGAGGAGACCUGUGUAGAAGCAAUGACAGAAGGCACUGUGCUUGUCACUUUUCUUAUCUGACUCCAUUAUCAUCAACCUGCCUCACAAAAGUGUAAAACUACUAGAAUAAACAGGCCAUCUGGAAGCUGAUAACACAGGGAUUUGGGUUUUAGAGCAUUCAUCUAAUUUAACUGCAUAAAACAACUUCUCUGAAACUUUAUUUGGCUUGUUUAAACCAUGUUUUUCUGACAUAUUGUAAUCAAGAGUGAAUCAUAUCUCAUUUAAACCACUAAUCAGUAUACUCCUCUAUCCUCAAGAUAAUCAACUGCACAC